RNAcentral lists this ribosomal RNA (475 nucleotides) under uncultured Clostridium sp. RNAcentral's name for it is "bacterial SSU rRNA". It matches the Rfam family "Bacterial small subunit ribosomal RNA", at positions 21 to 514 of the family's 1533-position model. The record is from RNAcentral. Lineage: Bacteria; Bacillati; Bacillota; Clostridia; Eubacteriales; Clostridiaceae.
GGCUCAGGACGAACGCUGGCGGCGUGCCUAACACAUGCAAGUCGAGCGGAGAAAGUUCUUCGGAACUUUCUCAGCGGCGGACGGGUGAGUAACACGUGGGUAACCUGCCUUAUAGAGGGGGAUAGCCUUCCGAAAGGAAGAUUAAUACCGCAUAACAUUUUCGUUUCGCAUGAAAUGAAAAUCAAAGGAGCAAUCCGCUAUAAGAUGGACCCGCGGCGCAUUAGCUAGUUGGUGAGGUAAUGGCUCACCAAGGCGACGAUGCGUAGCCGACCUGAGAGGGUGAUCGGCCACAUUGGAACUGAGAUACGGUCCUGACUCCUACGGGAGGCAGCAGUGGGGAAUAUUGCACAAUGGGGGAAACCCUGAUGCAGCAACGCCGCGUGAGUGAUGAAGGCCUUCGGGUUGUAAAGCUCUGUCUUUGGGACGAUAAUGACGGUACCCAAGGAGGAAGCCACGGCUAACUACGUGUCAGCAG